UUUGACAAACACUUAAAGACGAUACCCAUAGAGUCAUUAGCAGACAUCACUGCACACAAAACUCAUCAGGUGUAGCACUUAAAAGUAUCAUAUUGUCAAAAUAUUAAGCAACAUUUGAAUAUCAUAUUGUCAUAAUAUUAAGCAACAUUUGAAUAUUAGUAAGCAAAGUAAAUAUGUGGGAAUGAUACUCACUAAUCACUGGAACAUUCUUGCGAGUUUUAUGAUUCAUAAUCUUU
Molecule: long non-coding RNA, 236 nt
Filed under: Nicotiana benthamiana
Lineage: Eukaryota; Viridiplantae; Streptophyta; Magnoliopsida; Solanales; Solanaceae
Description: long non-coding RNA (NBEN_LNC017819)
Source: RNAcentral